AACAGUUUUUCUUGUCCAUUUUGUUGGUAAAUUACCUGCAAAUAAUAAACGAGAGAGGAUUUAUUGAAUCUGGGUUUGAUCUCAAAUCGAAAAUACACUUGGAUUCGUUCAUUUUUCGAUGGUUUUUUGACCUGAGAAUUACCUGCAGAUAAUAAACGAGAGAGGAUUUAUUGAAUCUGGGUUUGAUCUCAAAUCGAAAAUACACUUGGAUUCGUUCAUUUUUCGAUGGUUUUUUGACCUGAGAAGAGUUAUUUUUGGGUAUUUUUGCUCAUUUUUUGGUGAUAAAUAGAAGGAGAAAGUAAAACUUGGAAGAUAUGGCGUCGCAUUUUGAUAGGUGGGAGAAAGAUCCAUUCUUUUCAGCUGCAGAAGAGGUUCAAGAAUCUGCCGACAGGUAACCUGUUUUUGCUUUUUAAUUACAAUUUUCUUCUUAUUUGUUUGGUGGGUUUGGAUUGAUUUUGCUAGAAUUGUCAUUUGAGUUGGAUUUUUUUAGUUUUAUCUGUGAUUUUUU
This 508-nucleotide long non-coding RNA is filed under the name Solanum tuberosum (potato). RNAcentral's name for it is "long non-coding RNA (STUB_LNC005209)". Lineage: Eukaryota; Viridiplantae; Streptophyta; Magnoliopsida; Solanales; Solanaceae. The record is from RNAcentral.